AAGAUACUCCCUCCGUCCGAAAAUAUUUGUCAUCAAAAUAAAUAAAAGGGAUGUAUCUAGACGUAUUUUAGUUUUAGAUACAUCUCUUUUCAUCCAUUUUGAUGACAAGUAUUCCCGGACGGAGGGAGUAAUAG
Molecule: non-coding RNA, 134 nt
Organism: Triticum aestivum (bread wheat)
Lineage: Eukaryota; Viridiplantae; Streptophyta; Magnoliopsida; Poales; Poaceae
Source: Rfam